RNAcentral lists this ribosomal RNA (550 nucleotides) under uncultured bacterium. RNAcentral's name for it is "partial 16S ribosomal RNA". It matches the Rfam family "Bacterial small subunit ribosomal RNA", at positions 355 to 896 of the family's 1533-position model. The record is from RNAcentral.
UGGGGAAUCUUCCGCAAUGGACGAAAGUCUGACGGAGCAACGCCGCGUGAGUGAUGACGGCCUUCGGGUUGUAAAGCUCUGUUAAUCGGGACGAAAGGCCUUCUUGCGAAUAGUUANAAGGAUUGACGGUACCGGAAUANAAAGCCACGGCUAACUACGUGCCAGCAGCCGCGGUAAUACNUAGGUGGCAAGCGUUGUCCGGAAUUAUUGGGCGUAAAGCGCGCGCAGGCGGAUUGGUCAGUCUGUCUUAANAGUUCGGGGCUUAACCCCGUGAUGGGAUGGAAACUGCCNAUCUANANUAUCGGAGAGGAAAGUGGAAUUCCUANUGUANCGNUGAAAUGCGUANAUNUUANGAANAACACCANUGGCGAAGGCGACUUUCUGGACNAANACUGACGCUGAGGCGCGAAAGCCAGGGGAGCGAACGGGAUUANAUACCCCGGUAGUCCUGGCCGUANACGAUGGGUACUANGUGUANGANGUAUCGACCCCUUCUGUGCCGGAGUUAACGCANUAAGUACCCCGCCUGGGGAGUACGACCGCAAGGNUG